UACGAAGGGGGCGAGCGUUGUUCGGAAUUACUGGGCGUAAAGGGCGUGUAGGCGGCCGGUUAAGUCGGAUGUGAAAGCCCGGGGCUCAACCUCGGAACUGCAUUCGAUACUGACUGGCUAGUGGACGGAAGAGGUGAGUGGAAUUCCCGGUGGAGAGGUGAAAUUCGUAGAGAUCGGGAAGAACACCAGCGGCGAAGGCGGCUCACUGGUCCGUUCCAGACGCUAAGGCGCGAAAGCGUGGGGAGCAAACAGG
RNAcentral lists this ribosomal RNA (253 nucleotides) under uncultured bacterium. RNAcentral's name for it is "partial 16S ribosomal RNA". It matches the Rfam family "Bacterial small subunit ribosomal RNA", at positions 524 to 776 of the family's 1533-position model. The record is from RNAcentral.